CUUCCUACGGGAGGCAGCAGUGAGGAAUAUUGGUCAAUGGCCGGGAGGCUGAACCAGCCAAGUCGCGUGAGAGAAGACGGCCCUACGGGUUGUAAACCUCUUUUGUCAGGGAGCAAGAGGCGGGUCGAGACCUGCUGUGAGAGUACCUGAAGAAAAAGCAUCGGCUAACUCCGUGCCAGCAGCCGCGGUAAUACGGAGGAUGCGAGCGUUAUCCGGAUUUAUUGGGGUUAAAGGGUGGGCAGGCGGGGGCACAAGU
Molecule: ribosomal RNA, 256 nt
Filed under: uncultured bacterium
Lineage: Bacteria
Description: partial 16S ribosomal RNA
Rfam family: Bacterial small subunit ribosomal RNA
Source: RNAcentral